Molecule: ribosomal RNA, 2567 nt
Filed under: Escherichia coli
Lineage: Bacteria; Pseudomonadati; Pseudomonadota; Gammaproteobacteria; Enterobacterales; Enterobacteriaceae
Also listed under: 1 other name
Description: bacterial LSU rRNA
Rfam family: Bacterial large subunit ribosomal RNA
Source: RNAcentral
CUGUGAGCUCGAUGAGUAGGGCGGGACACGUGGUAUCCUGUCUGAAUAUGGGGGGACCAUCCUCCAAGGCUAAAUACUCCUGACUGACCGAUAGUGAACCAGUACCGUGAGGGAAAGGCGAAAAGAACCCCGGCGAGGGGAGUGAAAAAGAACCUGAAACCGUGUACGUACAAGCAGUGGGAGCACAGAGCAAUCUGUGUGACUGCGUACCUUUUGUAUAAUGGGUCAGCGACUUAUAUUCUGUAGCAAGGUUAACCGAAUAGGGGAGCCGAAGGGAAACCGAGUCUUAACCGGGCGUUAAGUUGCAGGGUAUAGACCCGAAACCCGGUGAUCUAGCCAUGGGCAGGUUGAAGGUUGGGUAACACUAACUGGAGGACCGAACCGACUAAUGUUGAAAAAUUAGCGGAUGACUUGUGGCUGGGGGUGAAAGGCCAAUCAAACCGGGAGAUAGCUGGUUCUCCCCGAAAGCUAUUUAGGUAGCGCCUCGUGAAUUCAUCUCCGGGGGUAGAGCACUGUUUCGGCAAGGGGGUCAUCCCGACUUACCAACCCGAUGCAAACUGCGAAUACCGGAGAAUGUUAUCACGGGAGACACACGGCGGGUGCUAACGUCCGUCGUGAAGAGGGAAACAACCCAGACCGCCAGCUAAGGUCCCAAAGUCAUGGUUAAGUGGGAAACGAUGUGGGAAGGCCCAGACAGCCAGGAUGUUGGCUUAGAAGCAGCCAUCAUUUAAAGAAAGCGUAAUAGCUCACUGGUCGAGUCGGCCUGCGCGGAAGAUGUAACGGGGCUAAACCAUGCACCGAAGCUGCGGCAGCGACACUGUGUGUUGUUGGGUAGGGGAGCGUUCUGUAAGCCUGUGAAGGUGUGCUGUGAGGCAUGCUGGAGGUAUCAGAAGUGCGAAUGCUGACAUAAGUAACGAUAAAGCGGGUGAAAAGCCCGCUCGCCGGAAGACCAAGGGUUCCUGUCCAACGUUAAUCGGGGCAGGGUGAGUCGACCCCUAAGGCGAGGCCGAAAGGCGUAGUCGAUGGGAAACAGGUUAAUAUUCCUGUACUUGGUGUUACUGCGAAGGGGGGACGGAGAAGGCUAUGUUGGCCGGGCGACGGUUGUCCCGGUUUAAGCGUGUAGGCUGGUUUUCCAGGCAAAUCCGGAAAAUCAAGGCUGAGGCGUGAUGACGAGGCACUACGGUGCUGAAGCAACAAAUGCCCUGCUUCCAGGAAAAGCCUCUAAGCAUCAGGUAACAUCAAAUCGUACCCCAAACCGACACAGGUGGUCAGGUAGAGAAUACCAAGGCGCUUGAGAGAACUCGGGUGAAGGAACUAGGCAAAAUGGUGCCGUAACUUCGGGAGAAGGCACGCUGAUAUGUAGGUGAAGUCCCUCGCGGAUGGAGCUGAAAUCAGUCGAAGAUACCAGCUGGCUGCAACUGUUUAUUAAAAACACAGCACUGUGCAAACACGAAAGUGGACGUAUACGGUGUGACGCCUGCCCGGUGCCGGAAGGUUAAUUGAUGGGGUCAGCGCAAGCGAAGCUCUUGAUCGAAGCCCCGGUAAACGGCGGCCGUAACUAUAACGGUCCUAAGGUAGCGAAAUUCCUUGUCGGGUAAGUUCCGACCUGCACGAAUGGCGUAAUGAUGGCCAGGCUGUCUCCACCCGAGACUCAGUGAAAUUGAACUCGCUGUGAAGAUGCAGUGUACCCGCGGCAAGACGGAAAGACCCCGUGAACCUUUACUAUAGCUUGACACUGAACAUUGAGCCUUGAUGUGUAGGAUAGGUGGGAGGCUUUGAAGUGUGGACGCCAGUCUGCAUGGAGCCGACCUUGAAAUACCACCCUUUAAUGUUUGAUGUUCUAACGUGGACCCGUGAUCCGGGUUGCGGACAGUGUCUGGUGGGUAGUUUGACUGGGGCGGUCUCCUCCUAAAGAGUAACGGAGGAGCACGAAGGUUGGCUAAUCCUGGUCGGACAUCAGGAGGUUAGUGCAAUGGCAUAAGCCAGCUUGACUGCGAGCGUGACGGCGCGAGCAGGUGCGAAAGCAGGUCAUAGUGAUCCGGUGGUUCUGAAUGGAAGGGCCAUCGCUCAACGGAUAAAAGGUACUCCGGGGAUAACAGGCUGAUACCGCCCAAGAGUUCAUAUCGACGGCGGUGUUUGGCACCUCGAUGUCGGCUCAUCACAUCCUGGGGCUGAAGUAGGUCCCAAGGGUAUGGCUGUUCGCCAUUUAAAGUGGUACGCGAGCUGGGUUUAGAACGUCGUGAGACAGUUCGGUCCCUAUCUGCCGUGGGCGCUGGAGAACUGAGGGGGGCUGCUCCUAGUACGAGAGGACCGGAGUGGACGCAUCACUGGUGUUCGGGUUGUCAUGCCAAUGGCACUGCCCGGUAGCUAAAUGCGGAAGAGAUAAGUGCUGAAAGCAUCUAAGCACGAAACUUGCCCCGAGAUGAGUUCUCCCUGACCCUUUAAGGGUCCUGAAGGAACGUUGAAGACGACGACGUUGAUAGGCCGGGUGUGUAAGCGCAGCGAUGCGUUGAGCUAACCGGUACUAAUGAACCGUGAGGCUUAACCUUACAACGCCGAAGGUGUUU